Molecule: ribosomal RNA, 464 nt
Filed under: uncultured bacterium
Lineage: Bacteria
Description: partial 16S ribosomal RNA
Rfam family: Bacterial small subunit ribosomal RNA
Source: RNAcentral
GACGAACGCUGGCGGCGUGCUUAACACAUGCAAGUCGAACGGAAAGGCCCCUUCGGGGGUCCUCGAGUGGCGAACGGGUGAGUAACACGUGAGUAACCUGCCCUGACUUCGGGAUAACUUCAGGAAACUGGGGCUAAUACCGGAUAGGAAUCCUUGCUGCAUGGUGGGGGUUGGAAAGCUUCGGCGGUUUUGGAUGGACUCGCGGCUUAUCAGCUUGUUGGUGGGGUAGUGGCUUACCAAGGCUUUGACGGGUAGCCGGCCUGAGAGGGCGACCGGCCACAUUGGGACUGAGAUACGGCCCAGACUCCUACGGGAGGCAGCAGUGGGGAAUAUUGCACAAUGGGCGGAAGCCUGAUGCAGCAACGCCGCGUGCGGGAUGACGGCCUUCGGGUUGUAAACCGCUUUCAGCAGGGGCGAAGCUUGUGGUGACGGUACCUGCAGAAGAAGCACCGGCUAACUACGUG